CGAAUACCGGGAAUAUUAGGUGCUUCGGACCUCGUCCGAAGCUUAAAAGGGAAGACGGUGCAAAUCCGUCGCGGUCCCGCCACUGUGAAGGGUGCUUGAUUCAAGCUAUCGCUCGGCAGCACGCCACUGAAGACAUGUCUUCGGGAAGGCGCCGAGCGGGAUGCCCUAAGCCAGGAUACCUGCCUGAUCCGAUAACACGGC
This 201-nucleotide non-coding RNA is filed under the name Paenibacillus sp. Lineage: Bacteria; Bacillati; Bacillota; Bacilli; Caryophanales; Paenibacillaceae. RNAcentral also lists the same sequence under 1 other name. The record is from RNAcentral.